This 81-nucleotide non-coding RNA is filed under the name Candidatus Accumulibacter aalborgensis. The record is from RNAcentral. Lineage: Bacteria; Pseudomonadati; Pseudomonadota; Betaproteobacteria.
GCUUGGGUUCGCGCCGAUUUGACAUCAACAGAUUGCGGGCGCGUUAGAAAUGCCGCUAAAGCGGGGCCGAUACCAGGAGUC